RNAcentral lists this ribosomal RNA (491 nucleotides) under uncultured bacterium. Its description in RNAcentral is "bacterial SSU rRNA". It matches the Rfam family "Bacterial small subunit ribosomal RNA", at positions 903 to 1397 of the family's 1533-position model. The record is from RNAcentral.
AAAUGAAUAGACGGGGGCCCGCACAAGCAGUGGAGUAUGUGGUUUAAUUCGACGAUACGCGAAAAACCUUACCAGGGCUUGACAUCCUACUAACGAGGCAGAGAUGCGUUAGGUGCCCUUCGGGGAAAGUAGAGACAGGUGGUGCAUGGUUGUCGUCAGCUCGUGUCGUGAGAUGUUGGGUUAAGUCCCGCAACGAGCGCAACCCCUACAGUUAGUUGCUACGCAAGAGCACUCUGGCUGGACUGCCGUUGACAAAACGGAGGAAGGUGGGGACGACGUCAAAUCAUCAUGCCCCUUACGUCCUGGGCUACACACGUACUACAAUGGCCGUUAACAACGGGUUACAAUGGCGCGAGCCGGAGUUAAUCCCCAAAAGCGGUCUCAGUUCAGAUUGCAGGCUGAAACUCGCCUGCAUGAAGGCGGAAUUGCUAGUAAUCGCGAAUCAGCAUGUCGCGGUGAAUACGUUCCCGGGCCUUGUACACACCGCCCGU